This 521-nucleotide ribosomal RNA is filed under the name uncultured bacterium. Its description in RNAcentral is "bacterial SSU rRNA". It matches the Rfam family "Archaeal small subunit ribosomal RNA", at positions 345 to 866 of the family's 1478-position model. The record is from RNAcentral.
AACCUCCGCAAUGUACGAAAGUGCGACGGGGGGAUCCCAAGUGUUAUGCUUAAAGGUAUGACUUUUCAUUAGUGUAAAAAGCUUUUAGAAUAAGAGCUGGGCAAGACCGGUGCCAGCCGCCGCGGUAACACCGGCAGCUCGAGUGGUAGCUGUUUUUAUUGGGCCUAAAGCGUUCGUAGCCGGUUUAAUAAGUCUUUGGUGAAAGCUUGUAGCUUAACUAUAAGAAUUGCUGGAGAUACUAUUGGACUUGAAGUCGGGAGAGGUUAGAGGUACUACCGGGGUAGGGGUGAAAUCCUAUAAUCCUGGGAGGACCACCUGUGGCGAAGGCGUCUAACUGGAACGAUCUUGACGGUGAGUAACGAAAGCCAGGGGCGCGAACCGGAUUAGAUACCCGGGUAGUCCUGGCCAUAAACGAUGUGGACUUGGUGUUGGAAUGGCUUUGAGUUGUUCCGGUGCCGAAGGGAAGCUGUUAAGUCCACCGCCUGGGAAGUACGGUCGCAAGAUUGAAACUUAAAGGAAUU